CUCAACGGGGGCGAAGCUGCAGGAGCAACCAGCUUGGUGGGUACCUCCUGGGUUUUGUUUGCAGGCCAGGCUGUUACCGCAGCAGCUGUGGUCGGGAACCUGGUCUCUCGCUAUUAUAACUUACAGAGUUCAGGCGAGGCUCUCAUACAAAUGCCUCAUUUCAGGUGGAGGUGGCUAAAAUAGGGAAAAUAAAAAAGCAUGACCCUUUUUUUUUUUUUUAAGGGCCACUCGCGCAGCAUAUGACGGUUCCCAGGCUAAGGGUCGAAUGGGAGCCACGGCUUCAGGCCUACGCCACAGCAACGCCAGAUCCAAGCCAUGUCUGCAGCCUAUUCCAAUAGCUCAGGGCAAUGCCGGCGCCUUAACCCACUGAGCGAGGCCUGGGAUGGAACCCCCAACCUCAUGGUGCCUAGUUGGGUUCAUUUCUGCUGCGCUCAGGACUGGAACUCCAGCAUAACCCAUUUUAGAAAGUUAACAUUUUUCUGUAUUUUACAUUUGGAAAGAGGCUUAUUUUAAUAUAAAAAAAAAGCGGAGUUCCCGUCGUGGUGCAUGGUUAACGAAUCCGACUAGGAACCAUGAACUUGCGGGUUUGAUCCCUGCCCUUGCUCAGUGGGUUAAGGAUCUGGCGUUGCCGUGAGCUGUGGUUUAGGUUGCAGACGCAGCUUGGAUCCCGAGUUGCUGUGGCUCUGGUGUAGGCUGGUGGCCAUAGCUCCGAUUCGACCCCUAGCCUGGGAAACUCCAUAUGCCGAGGGAGUGGCCCAAGAAAUGGCAAAAAGACAAAAAAAAAAAAGAAGAUGUGGUACAUAUACACAAUGGAACACUACUCAGCCAUAAAAGGGACAAAAUAAUGCCAUUUGCAGCAACAUGGAUAGAACUGGAGACUCUCAUACUAAGUGAAGUAAGAAAGAAAGACAAAUAUCACAUGAUAGCACAUAUAUGGAAUCUAAUAUAUGGCACAAAUGAACAUAUCUACAGAAAAGAAACAAACUCACAAACUUGGAGAACAGACUUGUGGUUGCCUGGGAGUUUGGGGUUGGGGUUAGUAGAUGCAAACUAUUGCAUUUGGAGUGGAUAAGCAAUGCGAUCCUGCUGUGUAACACAGGGAACUAUAUCUAGUCACUUGUGACAGAACAUGAUGGAGGAUAAUGUGAGAAAAAGAAUGU
This 1160-nucleotide long non-coding RNA is filed under the name Sus scrofa (pig). Its description in RNAcentral is "lncRNA (ENSSSCG00065020763.1)". Lineage: Eukaryota; Metazoa; Chordata; Mammalia; Artiodactyla; Suidae. The record is from RNAcentral.